AACAAAUUCAGAACUAUUACUCUUGUCUUUUUAACAAAAAAACAAGAAUUAACAAAUAAAAGAGCGGCCAUUUUCUAGCCGUAGAAUUACCUUCCCGCAACUUAUCAGCCAUGGCGGUUGCCACAGUUCCUGUGAACACAGUGUGCGCAUGUCCACUGCGCUCACCGCGCAACUCAACCAAAUUUGUGUCCCAGUUCUUAACAAAAUGCUCAUCCUUCGAAUUAGGUUUUGAAUCUCUGCAACUGCGGACCACCCUACCCGCAAGAAAGCUUGUGGUUCGAGCAGCUAGAACCGAGUCCAAAGGGGUCUCUUUGGGCUUCCGAGCUCCCAAUUUUGAGAUUCCAGAGCCACUUACUGGGAACGUUUGGAAACUAGAGGAUUUUGAAUCACAUCCUGCCUUACUGGUGAUGUUUAUCUGCAACCACUGCCCAUUUGUUAAACACCUGAAAAAGGGUAUCGUGAAGCUUGCAAAUUUCUAUAUGAAGAAAGGACUUGCAGUUGUUGCGAUAUCUUCGAAUUCUGUAGCUACGCAUCCACAGGAUGGACCACAAUUCAUGGCAGAAGAAGUUAAGCUGUUCAAAUAUCCUUUUCCAUAUCUAUAUGACGAGUCACAGGAUGUCGCCCGGGAUUUUGGAGCAAUUUGUACACCCGAGUUUUUUCUAUUUAAAAAGGAUGGACGGAGGCCAUUUGAACUGGUGUACCAUGGACAGUUUGAUGAUUCAAGACCUAGUAAUAAUGUGUCUGUAAGUGGAAGGGACUUGAGCCUGGCAAUAGAUUGUGUUCUCAGUGGCCAACCGGUACCAUCGAUUCAGAAACCAAGUGUUGGAUGCAGCAUAAAGUGGCACCCAGAGAGAAAACUGUGAUAUGCAAAUCUUGGUUUCAAUUUUCUUGAGAUUAUAAGCUGAGAAAUAAAAAAACCCCAUGAACUCAUCGUAAAAACCAUGCAACUAAUUGCACCAACACAUGCAAAAUCAUGGACAUGGCCUAAAGCAGAAAAUGUUAUGGUUACCGUUCAAGUGGCACUCAUUUCUGUUAAUGCAAAGCUUUGGGUUGCCCUCAUAUGCAG
This is a non-coding RNA of Prunus mume (Japanese apricot), 1066 nucleotides long. Lineage: Eukaryota; Viridiplantae; Streptophyta; Magnoliopsida; Rosales; Rosaceae. The record is from RefSeq and is a predicted model, not a curated record.